CACGCAGGUGGUUUGGCACGUGGGGUGUGAAAGCUCUCGGCUUAACUGAGAGAGGCCACCUCAUACGGCCAAGCUCGAGCCCUGCAGAGGUCCACGGAAUUGCCGGUGUAGUGGUGAAAUGCGUAGAGAUCGGCAGGAACACCCAGGGGGAAACCAGUGGACUGGGCAGGCGCUGACACUGAGGUGCGAAAGCGUGGGGAGCGAACC
This 207-nucleotide ribosomal RNA is filed under the name uncultured bacterium. RNAcentral's name for it is "partial 16S ribosomal RNA". It matches the Rfam family "Bacterial small subunit ribosomal RNA", at positions 568 to 774 of the family's 1533-position model. The record is from RNAcentral.